Molecule: transfer RNA, 75 nt
Filed under: Desulforudis audaxviator
Lineage: Bacteria; Bacillati; Bacillota; Clostridia; Thermoanaerobacterales; Desulforudaceae
Also listed under: 2 other names
Description: Candidatus Desulforudis audaxviator tRNA-Thr
Rfam family: tRNA
About the family: Transfer RNA (tRNA) molecules are approximately 80 nucleotides in length. Their secondary structure includes four short double-helical elements and three loops (D, anti-codon, and T loops).
Source: RNAcentral
GCUGGUGUAGCUCAGCGGCAGAGCAGCUGAUUCGUAAUCAGCAGGCCGUCGGUUCGAAUCCGACCACCAGCUCCA